Equus caballus (horse) is the source of this 3837-nucleotide long non-coding RNA. Lineage: Eukaryota; Metazoa; Chordata; Mammalia; Perissodactyla; Equidae. The record is from Ensembl.
UUCCCACUUUGCUCUGUUGACAGGUCAGCUUUAUUCUUCCCAUUUAUUUGAUGGGCACAUGUUGAACCUAGAGCAAUAUUUCUCUAUAAACAGUGUUAGGAUCUUGCACAAACUUCUUAAAAACUUUUUUUAGCCAUUUCAGGUAACAAUCCCCCACGUGGCUGUAACACCCAGAACUCUGGUGAAUGUUACAAUUGUUUUGCAGACAGGAAGUGACUGCAGCAUUAACACUAUCCAGAAGUGAGUGGUGAUAAACUCUGGCACUGCUACAAAAAAGAAAAACCAGGCUCAGAGACGCAGGAACUCAAAGAAUACACUCUGCAGUUGAGAGGAAAAACCUACACAAACUCAAAACAAAACCAGUUCAAAUAAACCUCAUUCCUUGCCAUCUAUAAACAGAGUAAGUUCAAGGGAGAAUCUUUUGGCCUCAACAAGAACCAUGGAAUGAGAUAAGAUGUUUUCUCCUUUCUUUUAAUGUGUGGACUGCAUUGGCGCCCCAUUAGAAAGGCAUUUCAAAUAUCCAUUAAUGAUUUAAUUGACUAAGUUGCAUUCUUCCCUGACUACCAUAUUGGGUUUAUCUGUGCAGAACUUCCUGCUAUUAUCUUAAGUCUCUGGCAGCUUAAUGAAGGCUGUAUGUCAGCAAACACUAUUUUUUAAAAAUUGGAGGAUAAACUUACAAGGAGUAACUGCUCCUUUAGAUCUUAGAGGUCACUCAUGCCCCAACUUGACUUGAAUGUCUGAACCAGCUGCUUCAAGAAGUCCACGUGGCUCAGGGCUGUAAAAUCAUGUUCACGUGGAACAUUCCUCUUGGGGCUUGAAAUACAAUCUGGUUAACAGACUUACAUCUUCGUGUCCUAGGUACCCAUCAAAAUACCCAACACGAAAAUUUUUGUGCUAAAUAUUUUCAAAUCUAUAUCAUAUCGAAUUUCUAUAGGAAAGUCAGUGUUUUGUUUUUUCUCUUAAAAAGGAACGGUCACUUCCAGUCUGCAGUGAUAUACCUGAAGUCUUAGACCUGUGUUUUCUGGGAGCUGUAACUGGAAUUCUCUAUAAGCCAAUUAAACUCCUUUUGACGAGUUCAGGGGAAUCAGCGUGUUUGUGUUGGCUUGCCGGGCCUUCAAGGCUCACAGACUUAGCCAGCUCAGGCACAGUUCGGCAGCCAGAGAAGGCAUUAGUCUCCCCCACAUAUCUACCCUGCAGGCUUCAUGGUGAAGAGCAAUGCCAGGGAGUUCAAGUGAUUACUUGCUUUAGGGAAACAAAAGCCAACAACCCAAGAAUCAACGUCCCCAAGAAAAGGUCAAUAGGCCUCAGUGCUGUAAUGGAUGUAACAAAUAUUUAAAUAAGGAUAAUAUAAAAAUGUGUUUGCUCAUUGAUUUAUUUCCAAUGACUUGGCUUUCACUCCACUGAGUGGUUCACAAAUUCAAACUUGAUUUCUGCUGACACGUUAGCCACACCGCUUCUCUUUUCCUUCCUUCCAUCUGCCUUUCAAUCACAUUUCACAGUCCCUUCCAAAAGGACCACAAAGUAUAGCACCAGCGAUAUUCUCAGUCUAUCAAAUGACUACAUAUUAAGUGGCUUUGUAAAGCAGUGAACCUGAGCCAAGUUUCUGUACAAUGCCGAGGAAAAGCCAGGGCUCUGGAGAGACUGGUCCAGGCCACAGGGAAUGGCCAGGCCCACUUCAAUCCUAACCAUCAGAGUAGCUUCUUCCCUUCCCAAAGCUUGAGUCCUACGGGAGGAAGAAGACGAGGAUCUCCUUGAAUUUAGAAUUGCAAUACGUCUCAGCUGGAAGGGCCCCAAGAGAUCCCCUAGUUUAGCCCAAGGAAGCAAAGUUUGGGCCACUAUAAAGAGAACUGCCCAAGAUCCUCAACUGAUAUACAGGGGAAAACAAGAGAGGAAGAAUACUGGCCUUCAGGAUGCUGCCCGCUUCUCCCUUCUGCCCACCCAGCAGCAUGCAAGCAAGCAUGCUUCAACUUAAUCAUAAGUGAACCUCAAACCACAGCUGAGGAUUGUUUUGAUUCUUGCUUGGAAAUAAUCCCAGUGCCUUCUUGGGUGGAAUGAAGUAUGUGAGGUGGGAGAAGAGGUCCCAGGCGGGAUUAUCUGCUACACAGACUGAUCUUUGUACCCACUUCCAUGUGCAUUCCCAUGCGCUCUGUCUUCGAAAGCCAUGGGGUGCUAGUGGUUCUCUCCCAACAUUUUUUCAUGAAAAUUUCCCGUGGGCACUCCAGCACCAUGUCAAGAUCAUUGACUGUAGACUCGUCACUACACCCACUGGUCUCUCAAAGAGGACAGAAAAAGCUACAGCCUUUCACUACAGUUCUUCUUUCAACUCAGGAGACUGGUAAUUUGUUGAGAAAUAGCAUCUACUCCGACUAAUCAACUCCAAACCCAGAGGAAGAACAUUGGGUUCUUCAGAUGAACUGUGUCCUGUGACAAAUUCCAUGUAUGUUCAUAAUAAUGAAAUGGGUUAUUAUUAGGAAAUCUGCUAAAUAGCUGGAAUUACAACCUUCCACAGUAUUAUCACUGUUAGAAAUGUUGAUGUAACAAAAAUUGAUUAGGGAGAGAAAUAAAGACUGCUUGGGGAACUAUUAAUAGGCUUAGAUUCAUGAACAUUUAUUGAACAAAAGAUAUUUUCCAGAUGCUCUGUGUCUUCACGGAACAAAAUAAUAACUGAAGCUGAAACUGCCUCGUGGCGGAUGUGGGAUCACUAUAAAGGAGAAUUCCCUCCUGAGGGGCUGAACGGAGGUGGGAAAAUAUUAUGUCCAAGACUUUUCUGAAAAUAGGACCAAUGCACCAGGAUAGUUGUAACCUCAGCUUACGGCAGGAGUUAGAUGAGCUGGCCUAUCAGGGCCUCCUAAUUGUUUCUUUUUUCCUUCAGGAGGGGAUAAAGGCCACCUCAGAAGAGAAAGUCCCUGACAUUCAACUAAUCUGCUUUGUACCAUGUUACAAAUAAAAUUUAAGGAAUCUAACAGACUCUUAAUGAAAAAAAUAAAUCUUGAGAAGUUAUUAUCUGGGAAACCUGGCCAUUGUCUGAGGACCUGGUUGCCUAUAACAGCCUACAUUUGCCUGGUGGGAUUGCCAGGGGAUCAGAUAUCAGACCAUAAAGUUGCUAACAGAACUGAAGCAGCUUGAUGGAAGGGAGAGCAUCAAUCAAUUAGAAAGUCUGUGUAGGCAAAGCAGAGGUGGGGGUGGGAGGUGCCUGCUUGAAACCCUUAAUUCGGAAAACAGAAGGUCUCCGUGGAAUUUUUCUAUAGGCUACAGCGAGAGGCCAAGUAAAACCAGGUGCUGGGAACAGGUGAUGAGCACUAGCCUGGACGGCUCUAAAUUAAGGAUGUAAACCACUUGUUUCCUCCAAAUUACUGCAACCGGAAAUUUAGUUCUUUCUUUCAAUGAUGACUUAUUAUAAAACCCUCUCAUUUUAAGUUGUCCAUGUUUGGUGGCAAACAAGAAAACAGACAUCAGCAGAAACGUAUAAACAUAAGAGUUAUUUUGCCUCACUUUCUGGAUUUCAGAGGCAGAUGGUUGAAUUUAUCUUACGCCUCGGUCCACAGCCUAUUACCAUCAUGGAUCCAGGCAAGGCUGCUCUCUUGUUUUACUUACUGUUGCCUUCUUUUUUUCUGAUUUCCCACUCCCAUUCUCCUCCUCCCACAGGCAAGAGUUUUAAUGCAUUUAAUAUGUAUCCUCAAAUUUGUAGGUAUCUCUGUCAAACGUAGAACUGUUUAGUGUGUGUAUGUAUAUUUUUAAUUUACACAAAUGGCAUUGGGCUAUGAACCACGUGUUUUUUAAUUCACUGCUGUGUGUUGAAGCUCUGUCCCUGUUGCUACGAUUACAUCAAUUUUGUGC